Molecule: long non-coding RNA, 509 nt
Organism: Rhineura floridana
Lineage: Eukaryota; Metazoa; Chordata; Lepidosauria; Squamata; Rhineuridae
Exons: 2
Source: RefSeq, a predicted model, not a curated record
AGCUGCAUAAAAGGUCUUCCCACCUGCGCUUCUCCCAACAGCAACUCUCGCCUUCUCCCAAGCAGUUUGUUCAGGACUUGACCCAGCUCCAUUGCUCCAAGAUGUCCCACGGCUACAUUCCAUCCCUCCAGCACUCCUGCUACAUCCCAACUGGAACCUCUUCUUGGGGGCACCCCAUUAGCGGCACCAGUGAUUUUGGGAGUGACGCAGUGUAAUUGCAGUGCCUUGCCAUAACCUCUGGGGUCAGCGCUAAUGGCGUCAAUCUGACUGCACGUCGUGAUUACGAGUACGUGCACAUCAUCCAGCCCCCUGUUGUUGUGAUCAUCCCAGGACCAAGACUUCCUCCCUCCAGAGGGCCGGUUCGUGGUUUCUAAAGGGAAUGUCCGCAGCAGCAACUGACAAAUACGAUAUGGCUUUACAGCAAUGAGAUCCUUCCUCUCUUCUCUCUGGCAUGGGAAAUGUCCUACGACUUCCUUCUUCUUUCAUUAAAGCUUAGCUUCAGCAUCGAA